RNAcentral lists this unclassified non-coding RNA (245 nucleotides) under Hevea brasiliensis (rubber tree). Lineage: Eukaryota; Viridiplantae; Streptophyta; Magnoliopsida; Malpighiales; Euphorbiaceae. The record is from RNAcentral.
GCCAGUUCAACUUCUGGCGAUGUGAGAAGACAACCCAUGGAGGGUAAUACUUGGCCGGAAGGAGCUUCUUUGUAUCUUCAAGUGUCAUUCUGGAGAAAGCCAUCACUGCCUCAGCCAGCGAGCUCCGCUGCCUCUGCCGCGUGUUCUCCGAUCGGACAUGAGCGAUGAUCAUCCCGAUCCCGAAGGCGAUCCCCAGCACCAUGCCGAUGAAGAACGACAUCGUCGCUCCAAAACCCUAGGAGCGG